UACAGGGGGGACAAGUGUUACUCAUCAUGACUGGGCGUAAAGGGCAUCUAGGCGGUCCGGUUAAACGUUUUUUGUUAAAUCUUUCGAGUGGUUCGAAGGGAACAUUUUAUACAUCCGGACUUGAGUCUGUUAAACGACUGCUGAACUCUUAAUGUAAAGGUGGAAUUUCCUGAUAUUAAGGGGACAACCAAAGGCGAAGGCAGCUGUCGGAGGCGUGACUGACGCUGAUAUGCGAAGGCGUGGGGAUCAAAUGGG
This 255-nucleotide ribosomal RNA is filed under the name uncultured bacterium. RNAcentral's name for it is "partial 16S ribosomal RNA". It matches the Rfam family "Bacterial small subunit ribosomal RNA", at positions 524 to 776 of the family's 1533-position model. The record is from RNAcentral.